This 316-nucleotide long non-coding RNA is filed under the name Penaeus japonicus. RNAcentral's name for it is "uncharacterized LOC122265496". The record is from RNAcentral. Lineage: Eukaryota; Metazoa; Arthropoda; Malacostraca; Decapoda; Penaeidae.
AUUGCCGUCUGGAGGUUCGUAGUAAUAACGCUGGACGCGAACAGAACAGGUAAGAGGCGAGAAUGUCCAUUGCGUUGUUUGGUUGUCAAGAAGUUUUUCUUAUUGCAUUCCGGUGAACCAGUUCCAUCAAUCCUUGUGAGAUUGUCGACGUUGACAGUGUUAGUGGCACAUCAACUGUGGUUAAUAGAUGCAGUAGUGGAAGAGCUCGUUACCUCUAGCACCAACAGCCAACGGAAUGACAUCCAAGGCAAAGAUAGCAAAACUUCGUGCUCUGGUGGAAGCAGGCGACGCCGAAGGGCUGCAGACCGCCCUCGGC